Molecule: transfer RNA, 61 nt
Filed under: Perkinsus marinus ATCC 50983
Lineage: Eukaryota; Perkinsozoa; Perkinsida; Perkinsidae
Rfam family: tRNA
About the family: Transfer RNA (tRNA) molecules are approximately 80 nucleotides in length. Their secondary structure includes four short double-helical elements and three loops (D, anti-codon, and T loops). Further hydrogen bonds mediate the characteristic L-shaped molecular structure. tRNAs have two regions of fundamental functional importance: the anti-codon, which is responsible for specific mRNA codon recognition, and the 3' end, to which the tRNAs corresponding amino acid is attached (by aminoacyl-tRNA synthetases). tRNAs cope with the degeneracy of the genetic code in two manners: having more than one tRNA (with a specific anti-codon) for a particular amino acid; and 'wobble' base-pairing, i.e. permitting non-standard base-pairing at the 3rd anti-codon position.
Source: Rfam by way of RNAcentral
GCCACUUUAGCUUAGUGGUAGAUCGUCUGCUUCGUAAGCAGAAGGUCGUCAGUUCAAUCCU